This 157-nucleotide unclassified non-coding RNA is filed under the name soil metagenome. RNAcentral describes it as "partial internal transcribed spacer 1". The record is from RNAcentral.
CCGAGUUUACAACUCCCAAACCCCUGUGAACAUACCACUUGUUGCCUUGGCGGAUCCGCCUCGCUCCAGCGGCUUAAACGGCUUGACGUGCCCGCCAGAGGACCACUAAACUCUUGUUUUUAUAUGUAAUGUCUGAGUAAACCAUAUAAUAAAUUAA